AGUGAACGCUGGCGGUAGGCCUAACACAUGCAAGUCGAACGGCAGCACAGUAAGAGCUUGCUCUUACGGGUGGCGAGUGGCGGACGGGUGAGGAAUACAUCGGAAUCUACUUUUUCGUGGGGGAUAACGUAGGGAAACUUACGCUAAUACCGCAUACGACCUACGGGUGAAAGCAGGGGAUCUUCGGACCUUGCGCGAUUGAAUGAGCCGAUGUCGGAUUAGCUAGUUGGCGGGAUAAAGGCCCACCAAGGCGACGAUCCGUAGCUGGUCUGAGAGGAUGAUCAGCCACACUGGAACUGAGACACGGUCCAGACGCCUACGGGAGGCAGCAGUGGGGAAUAUGGGACAAUGGGCGCAAGCCUGAUCCAGCCAUACCGCGUGGGUGAAGAAGGCCUUCGGGUUGUAAAGCCCUUUUGUUGGGAAAGAAAAGCAGCAGGUUAAUACCCCGCUGUUCUGACGGUACCCAAAGAAUAAGCACCGGCUAACUUCGUG
This 492-nucleotide ribosomal RNA is filed under the name uncultured bacterium. RNAcentral describes it as "partial 16S ribosomal RNA". It matches the Rfam family "Bacterial small subunit ribosomal RNA", at positions 29 to 507 of the family's 1533-position model. The record is from RNAcentral.